CCUACGGGAGGCAGCAGUGGGGAAUAUUGCACAAUGGGGGAAACCCUGAUGCAGCGACGCCGCGUGAAGGAAGAAGUAUUUCGGUAUGUAAACUUCUAUCAGCAGGGAAGAAAAUGACGGUACCUGACUAAGAAGCCCCGGCUAACUACGUGCCAGCAGCCGCGGUAAUACGUAGGGGGCAAGCGUUAUCCGGAUUUACUGGGUGUAAAGGGAGCGUAGGCGGUUGAGCAAGUCUGAAGUGAAAGCCCGGGGCUCAACCCUGGAACUGCUUUUGAAACUGUUGAACUGGAGUGCAGGAGAGGUAAGUGGAAUUCCUAGUGUAGCGGUGAAAUGCGUAGAUAUGAGGAGGAACACCAGUGGCGAAGGCGGCUUACUGGACUGUAAAUGACGCUGAGGCACGAAAGCGUGGGGAGCAAACAGGAUUAGAUACCCGUGUAGUC
RNAcentral lists this ribosomal RNA (440 nucleotides) under uncultured bacterium. RNAcentral's name for it is "partial 16S ribosomal RNA". It matches the Rfam family "Bacterial small subunit ribosomal RNA", at positions 338 to 795 of the family's 1533-position model. The record is from RNAcentral.